GACUCUUCAUAGGGUCUCGAGAGACAUGACAAUACUGUUCAAAACGUCUCCAAGGCAAAAUUAAUUUUAUUCCGUUGACUGGAAAUAUAUCACAAAGAAUGAGGUUUUUCCAGUCCCACCCACAAGACAGUCCUCUGAAAGUGGAAAAGCUUGCCCGGCCACCUGCCCCUACCCUGACCUUGGGGUAGUUCAUCAGUUGAGCACAACCCCCAUGCCGGGCAUAGACUCACCCAUCUCUUUUCCUCAGGUGUGAUGGGUUGGCUUUCAAACUAGUGUUUCUCGCACUGUUAGAAGUUAUUGUCCAAGUGGAAAGGAUGCAGAGGCUGGAAUUUUCCAGUGGGAUAGAAGAGCAGGCUAAUUAGGAAGGAAUAUUCCAGGGAAUGCAAGGUGCAACUGCGAUAUUGCUCCAUCCCUGGACCUGAGGGAGACAAAGAAAGUUCUUAAAGGGCUGCAGAUGCUGUCCUCUGAAGGUCUUCUCUGGAUCGCUGGCCUACUUUGGAAACAUGCAGGCCAUUGAGUGCCAUGGGGCUGCCCAUCAGUCUGAUCCACACGAAAGGCUCUGUGCAUUUCAAGAGCAGGCUGGUAGCUCGCCAUUCCUGGGAGGAUGCUGACAUCUGUCAAGCCCAGAAUGCCUCUCUCAGGGCUCUCAGACCUGUUAAACUGAGGCCAGGAGAGCAGAAGAAAGAACUCAAAGUGUGGACGGUACUACCAGCUGGAGAAAGCCCAGGAGCCAGGACUCUUCCACCCACUAUCUAGGUUAUGUUGAGUGACAUUCCUCCCUGGCUUCAGGUUUCUCUAAAGCCAGAGGAAAAGUAAACCAGACAAGCCCUCCCAUCUAUUUUGUCUGAAACAAGAUGGAGUGAAUGCUCCCUACUGAGAGGGUCUGGAUUUCACCCAUGAAUUGCACUAGGAACUGGGAGCUCCUUUUUGAACACAAGUCCCAAGAGGCAGUUGUGAUAAAGUCUCUCUUUUGGUGUCCGCUGUCUGUAAAUGAAACAAUGCAAAUUGGUGUAUGUUAAAUGUGUCACAGCUUGCAGGCAAGAGGUUUUGUUUAUUCUCUAAGGACUUGCUGACUCGAGGGAGCAUCAAAGAUGAGCUUUCUGUCUGUCUUGGCAAGUGUGAAAAUAAAGGGAGUCAGUCACCUCCCCAAAGGUCAUGUGAAUCAGAAUUCAGGAGAAAGUUGGAGGAAACAAUGGCAGAUUCCAAGAAGAGAUGCUUGUUUCUCCAUUUGAGAAAGCCUUACUGAAAGCUACUGAAUAAAGAGCACAAUUUCCAGUUAUUUCUUUCUUUGCUUUUUUUUUUUUCUGGCCACUAUAACAGCACUUCCAGUAUAUGUUGAUAGUAGCUUGUAAUUAUUCCUAAUACCCCAGAAAGAAGAGAGUCGUGAUCUUUGGUGAUUGUGAGGAAUUAGAUUAACAGUCGCGGGGGACCGGCUACCUGCGACAGCCCUUUAAAUGGCUAAUGAGGGAUGCUGAGUGCUGAGCGGUGCCUGCUUUUGAUGUGGCCCACCCAUGACCAGGGAGAGAGGGCAGGAAGAGAGCAGCUGCAGGAUCCACAAGUCUCUAACCCUUCUGCCCCAGGCAACAUAAAACCCUAGAUUCUUGUUCUUUUUCCCUCUUCCUAAAGUAGACUGACGUCCCAGUAAUUGUUUUUCUAACAAGCCCUGUUGUUCUCCCUGGGAAAGACCUAGAUUGGCCAAGAAAGGAUCCUGUCAGCUCCUGGUGGAGAGUUGCACAAGCCAGUGGCUCUCAACUCUCUCCAAGGAAAAUUAAAGCAUAUUUUCUCUUUCUUAGCUCAAAAUCAGCUUUCAGGGGUCCUUAUUGGGGUCUGAUUUUCUUCCCCAGUUCUGAAUCCAGGAAGAAGCUUUUUCUCCAAGGACCAACCAAAAACAAUGACUUUGGAGAAAAAUUAGACUCAGAAAGUCUGUCCAGGCAUUGGGUUGGUGAACUGUCAACUGUUGGAUGGGGAGGAGGGGUCGCUGUGAUCGUAGCGGUCAUUAGACUUGGGACGUGAGUUGUCUCUCAAAGCACAGUAGUAAAUGACUGUAUUUUGUAUAUUGCCCCCAAUAUGUUGGGUGUAAAUAGAAGCACAGCUGGGGAUUGAUCAUGGCCAGGACGAUUGGAGCUUGGCAGCUCUCAUAUCCAGAAUAAGCCACUAAGACGGAACUCAUCAAUCACCAUCUUCCCAUUUACCUCAUUAGCAUCCCAUUUUCUCUCAUUCAGUAUUAGUUGAUGAUUUCUGCUAUUAAGUGAUGAGAAAGUCAGCAGACUAGUCAAAAAAGAAUCUUUAUAUAAAAUGUACAUAUUAAUAUAAAUUAACUUAGCAUGCAACUUACCGAUCAAAUGAAGUAUAUAUUAUUAAUAUGUUAUCUUAGUGUAUAAAGGAAAACUGCCAUAUUUACCAGAUGUUUUCUUUAACCGAACUUGUCUGUAAAUAUAUAAUCUGUAUAAAAAGAGUCUAAUUUACCAUUAUUUAUGCAAUAGAAAAAAUAAAAGUUUUUUUUUCUUUUGA
Molecule: long non-coding RNA, 2511 nt
Filed under: Homo sapiens (human)
Lineage: Eukaryota; Metazoa; Chordata; Mammalia; Primates; Hominidae
Description: non-protein coding lnc-CALN1-2:1
Source: RNAcentral